GAUGAACGCUGGCGGCGUGCCUAAUACAUGCAAGUCGAGCGAACAGACGAGGAGCUUGCUCCUCUGACGUUAGCGGCGGACGGGUGAGUAACACGUGGAUAACCUACCUAUAAGACUGGGAUAACUUCGGGAAACCGGAGCUAAUACCGGAUAAUAUAUUGAACCGCAUGGUUCAAUAGUGAAAGACGGUUUUGCUGUCACUUAUAGAUGGAUCCACGCCGCAUUAGCUAGUUGGUAAGGUAACGGCUUACCAAGGCGACGAUGCGUAGCCGACCUGAGAGGGAGAUCGGCCACACUGGAACUGAGACACGGUCCAGACGCCUACGGGAGGCAGCAGUAGGGAAUCUUCCGCAAUGGGCGAAAGCCUGACGGAGCAACGCCGCGUGAGUGAUGAAGGUCUUCGGAUCGUAAAACUCUGUUAUUAGGGAAGAACAAAUGUGUAAGUAACUAUGCACGUAUUGACGGUACCUAAUCAGAAAGCCACGGCUAACUACGUG
RNAcentral lists this ribosomal RNA (497 nucleotides) under uncultured bacterium. RNAcentral describes it as "partial 16S ribosomal RNA". It matches the Rfam family "Bacterial small subunit ribosomal RNA", at positions 28 to 507 of the family's 1533-position model. The record is from RNAcentral.